This 305-nucleotide ribosomal RNA is filed under the name uncultured bacterium. RNAcentral's name for it is "bacterial SSU rRNA". It matches the Rfam family "Bacterial small subunit ribosomal RNA", at positions 337 to 639 of the family's 1533-position model. The record is from RNAcentral.
CCCUACGGGGCGCAGCAGUGAGGAAUAUUGGUCAAUGGACGAGAGUCUGAACCAGCCAAGUAGCGUGAAGGAUGGCUGCCCUAUGGGUUGUAAACUUCUUUUAUAUGGGAAUAAAAUGUUCCACGUGUGGGAUUUUGUAUGUACCAUAUGAAUAAGGAUCGGCUAACUCCGUGCCAGCAGCCGCGGUAAUACGGAGGAUCCGAGCGUUAUCCGGAUUUAUUGGGUUUAAAGGGAGCGUAGGCGGGCCGUUAAGUCAGUUGUGAAAGUUCGGGGCUCAACCCCGGAAUUGCAGUUGAAACUGCCGG